AUGCCGCAGCCGGGGAGCACCGUUCCGCCGGAGGAGGCGGUGCGCACGCACGGCCUCCUCACCGAGGUCCUCCAGGACCCGUCGGACCAAAAGCUCGCCGAGGCGUGGCGCGCCACGCCAUAUAGUUGUUGGUUGGGAACUUGUUUACUUGGCGUGACUUUCCAAGAGUGCAGCAGUGAGCGCUUUGCUGAAUCAUACUCUGAUUGGUUUGAGAAGAUUCUGAGGAACUUGCAGAAAGGACCACCUAGCUUGCAACUUGUUACUUUGGUCUCUUGUACUUCCAUGUCUGAUCUAUUUGCGAGAUUGGCGAAAUAUUUGAACUUAAAGAAAGAGGCAUCAUCCUUUGCUGGAAGAGUUGUUGAACCAUUGCUGCUGCUUUUAAAUGAAAAUGGUCCAGUGGCGGAUGAAGCGAUUGAUUUGCUAAGGACAGUUAUUAAAUUGUAUCCCUCAUCUGUAAAUCGACACUACAAUAAAAAAUUUGCGAGAGUCUUAGCAAUGCUACCUUCUGUCCGAGUAUCUGAGGGCACUUGGUCAUUGAUGAUUCAGAAAGUACUGAUUGGUAUAAACAAUCUUCUGAACGAUGCCUUUGUUGGGCUGGAAGAAGAAAAGAAAGGGCGUGAGAUUAUGAUGCUUCUAGUUCCACCUGGUAAUGAUCCUCCACCAGUGUUGGGAGAUCAAGUAAAGUUGGGAGGCAAUCUGCAUGUGACAAAGAAAUUUCGUGUCUUCACUGUUCCUACCAUUUCAGCCCUUGCCCAUUGCUGCUGCAUGAUGCUGACUAGUUAUUACCCGGUUCAGGUCACCGUUCCUGUCCGUGCUUUGAUAGCUCUGUCACGGAGAGUGCUCUUAGUUGAUGGAUCAUUGCGCAACAAGUCGUUUCCUUCAACUACUUCCUUGCACCAAGAGCUUAUUUGUUUUGAGCUUCCAUCAUUGCAUUCAUCUUUCUUGGAUUUGCUCCAUGCAACUAUUAAAGGAAUGCGAAGCCAACUUUUACCGCAUGCUGCUAAUAUUGUACGGCUUGUAACUGAUUACUGCAAAAUUGCGAAGUUACCUACUACGAGGACAAAAGUUUACAGCAUUGUUCAGCUGUUGCUGACCUCCAUGGGUGUUGGGCGGGCCCAUCACAGUUCGCGCCAAAAACGGUCCGUCCGGCGCCCCCAGGCGACCCCCAGCGCGCCGGGUUCGAGUUGGGUACGCUGGCGUCAAUUUCGGCCCAAUCCGGCGGAAAACGGGCUCCUAGGGGCGCGACUGGGCCAUUUUUUCGGCGUCGGCGCAGAAAAAGUGGCCUGGGGGGUCUGUUGGGGGGGGGGUUCAUUGAGGACAGAUCACUGGAGGGCAAAAGUGGACUUGCUCCUAAUUAACAUAGCUACAAGUGCUUGUGACUCAGGAGCAGGGUAUGAGCCAUCAACAACCAAAGUCGGGGAGACAAGCAUAUCAGACUUUCGACUUGCUUCAUAUAAGGCAUUGCUGGCAUCUUUUCUUUCAUCUCCUCAUGCCCGACCACUUUAUUUAGCCCAAGGAACUGAACUCUUCAGAAAAGGGAAGCUAGAGAUAGGCACUACGCUCGCAGAGUUUUGUUCACAUGCUUUGCUGGCUUUGGAUGUUCUUACGCACCCUCGAGCCCUUUCUCUAGAAAAGGCAGGUCCUUUAGUCCCUGGACUCAACCGCAGUGAACCAGAAAAGGCAAUUUUUGGUGCUGGCACAUUUAACUUUUCACCAUCCGAAGGGCAGCGCCAGGUUAUUGCGGAUGAAGAUACUUAUGAUGAUUGGUUGCCAUCCAUCAAGGAUAAUGAACCGACAGAAAAGUCCACUCUUGUAAAAGAAGUUCCGCAAAUUGGUUCACAUACAAUUGCUGAGGCAGUAGAAGAUGUUCCUGCAUGCAACAGGAGUGAUGCCAUUAUGGUGGUUGCGACCACAGAAAAAACCUCCCAGCCAAUGACAGUGGAUAAUCCUUCUAGCUUCAAUGCUGUUUCAAAUCCAAUCUACUCAAGGCCACCUGAAACACAGAAAGCCACAGCUACCCCCUUUCGAGAGGAAAAGCGUGCUGAUCAUGUUAAUUCUCUUCUUCAGAAUAAAAGCUCAGCUGCGGUCAACCUACCAUUCCGCAAUCUGGCAACCUCAGGUGAUAAACCAUCUGACCCAGGUGUUGCUGCUCCGAGCAGCUAUAAAGAUGCUCCGAGCGAGAUACAAGACGGCGACCCGGAUUCUGACUAUUGA
This 2214-nucleotide ribosomal RNA is filed under the name Triticum aestivum (bread wheat). Its description in RNAcentral is "partial small subunit ribosomal RNA". The record is from RNAcentral. Lineage: Eukaryota; Viridiplantae; Streptophyta; Magnoliopsida; Poales; Poaceae.